UACGUAGGUCCCGAGCGUUGUCCGGAUUUAUUGGGCGUAAAGCGAGCGCAGGUGGUUUAAUAAGUCUGAUGUAAAAGGCAGUGGCUCAACCGUUGUGUGCAUUGGAAACUGUUAGACUUGAGUGCAGUAGAGGAGAGUGGAAUUCCAUGUGUAGCGGUGAAAUGCGUAGAUAUAUGGAGGAACACCGGUGGCGAAAGCGGCUUUCUGGACUGUCACUGACACUGAGGCUCGAAAGCGUGGGUAGCAAACAGG
RNAcentral lists this ribosomal RNA (252 nucleotides) under uncultured microorganism. RNAcentral's name for it is "partial 16S ribosomal RNA". It matches the Rfam family "Bacterial small subunit ribosomal RNA", at positions 524 to 776 of the family's 1533-position model. The record is from RNAcentral.